Molecule: long non-coding RNA, 895 nt
Filed under: Salmo salar (Atlantic salmon)
Lineage: Eukaryota; Metazoa; Chordata; Actinopteri; Salmoniformes; Salmonidae
Description: lncRNA (ENSSSAG00000085530.1)
Source: RNAcentral
CAAAGCCAAUUUAUAAUGACUGAUUCCAACCCCUAAACCUGAAGGCUUGGUUCACCGUGAGCAGACCUGGAUUCACAUCGCUUCUGUACUAUACUGGAGGUUAUUACUGACUGGGACCAGGCUAGGAGGUUAGUACUGACUGGGACCAGGCUAGGAGGUUAUUACUGACUGGGACCAGGCUAGGAGGUUAUACUGACUGGGACCAGGCUAGGAGGUUAGUACUGACUGGGACAAGACUAGGAGGUUAGUACUGACUGGGACCAGGCUAGGAGGUUAUUACUGAUCUGGGACCAGGCUAGGAGGUUAGUACUGACUGGGACCAGGCUAAGAGGUUAGUUCUGACUGGGACCAGGCUAGGAGGUUAUUACUGAUCUGGGACCAGGCUAUGAGGUUAAUACUGACUGGGACCAGGCUAUGAGGUUAAUACUGACUGGGACCAGGCUAGGAGCUUAGUACUGACUGGGACCAGGCUAGGAGGUUACUACUGACUGGGACCAGGCUAGGAGGUUAUGGGACCAGGCUAGGAGGUUAGUACUGACUGGGACCAGGCUAGGAGGUUAUUACUUAUCUGGGACCAGGCUAGGAGGUUAUUACUGACUGGGACCAGGCUAUGAGGUGAGUACUGAUCUGGGACCAGGCUAGGAGGUUAUUACUGAUCUGGGACCUGGCUAGGAGGUUAUUACUGAUCUGGGACCAGGCUAGGAGGUUAGUUCUGAUCUGGGACCAGGCUAGGAGGUUAUUACUGAUCUGGGACCAGGCUAUGAGGUUAGUGCUGACUGGGACCAGGCUAGGAGGUUAUUACUGAUCUGGGACCAGGCUAGGAGGUUAGUACUGACUGGGACCAGGCUAGGAGGUUAUUACUGAUCUGGGACCAGGCUAGGAGGUUAGUACUGAC